UACGUAGGGUGCGAGCGUUGUCCGGAAUUAUUGGGCGUAAAGAGCUUGUAGGCGGUUUGUCGCGUCUGCCGUGAAAACCCGAGGCUCAACCUCGGGCGUGCGGUGGGUACGGGCAGGCUGGAGUGUGGUAGGGGAGACUGGAACUCCUGGUGUAGCGGUGAAAUGCGCAGAUAUCAGGAAGAACACCGAUGGCGAAGGCAGGUCUCUGGGCCAUUACUGACACUGAGGAGCGAAAGCAUGGGUAGCGAACAGGAUUAGAUACCCCUGUA
RNAcentral lists this ribosomal RNA (269 nucleotides) under uncultured prokaryote. Its description in RNAcentral is "partial 16S ribosomal RNA". It matches the Rfam family "Bacterial small subunit ribosomal RNA", at positions 524 to 792 of the family's 1533-position model. The record is from RNAcentral.